Molecule: long non-coding RNA, 1642 nt
Filed under: Nicotiana tabacum (common tobacco)
Lineage: Eukaryota; Viridiplantae; Streptophyta; Magnoliopsida; Solanales; Solanaceae
Description: long non-coding RNA (NTAB_LNC013512)
Source: RNAcentral
UUCGAAUUUGGAUUUAAAUUUUUAAGGCCAAAAACCCUAACCCAAAAUCUUUGUGAUUUUGGACCGUAAUAUCCUUAACCAUGUGUUUUCUUAUGAAAACACAUGGUUGGGGAUGUUACGUGUCAAAAAUUCUGAAAGAUUCGGACGUCGAUGGUUGACCGGCGUUUCUCUUGGCAUCAGUGAGUUUUCGUUUUCCUCUCUUCUGUUUGCUUCUAUUCUAAUACUUGCUAAUGUCCAAGUUUUUGUCAACUAUGUCUGGAUUCCAUGUUUUGAUUUAUGGCUUGAUUCUAAUUUAUUUUGUUCUUGAUUUUAGUUUGAUUGGCAUAUUAGAAUUUACUCUUUUUCGAUUCAAGAAGUUAGUUUAGGUUUUGAUUAGUUUAAGUUUAAUCAGGAUAAUUGUUCUUCACUUUAGUUUGCUAAUGGUAAGUCAGUGUUAAUGUGUUUUGUUGAUAAUUGGUCAUUGGUUAAUCGGGCUUUGAUUGUUGGAUUUAGAAUUCGAUUUGGGUUGAUUUCAGUAUUACCAUCUUGUAAAUUAUUCAUGUGUUACUUGGUAAGUUGUUUGGUUGUAACUGAAGGGUUUUGGGUCAGGUAGUAAUUUUAGGAGAUACUAAGGGUAGUCUGGGGAAUGAACAAGGGGAAUAAAUUCAGAACUAGGGGAAAUCACAUGUGAGGGUAGUCUAGGUCUUAUUUGGGGAAGGGUAGGUGAUAGAAGCUUCUAGCAUUUUAUUUACCUAUAAAUAGGCAUUGAAUUGCCUUGAGAGAGGGUCUUCUUUUUCAGCCAUUAUUAGCUCCCAAAAACACUGGCCAUUAUAGAUUUCAGAUCUGAAGUAGCUUUCUAAUUCAAAAACCAAAAUACAAAACCAAAAAGUUCAAAAAAAAAACUAAAAAAUGUUACUGUUCCAUUAGGCAUUGAGUGACUUUCAAUUCUCAGCUUUCGAUUUACCACUUCCUAGUUCAGAUUUUGGUUGUCAUGACUUAGCAGUCUCCUGGAUCCAUUUCUGUUGGUUUUUGAGUUCAUUUGAAUCAGUUUGGGCCCUUCAGUUGAUGCAGUAGUUGAGUAGUGUGUUACUUAGUGUUUGGUGAAGCUAUUUUGUAUUAAAUCACACCUGUUUGGUUGUUGCUGUUUGAGAUUAGUUUCUGGUGUUUAAUUCUCCCUAAGCUGCUGAAUAUUGUUCUUGGAUACUGCUGUUGUUUCACCUGCUUCUGCUAACUCCUUCUUCUUUCGCUGUAAUUCGAAAACCAGGUACAUAUCCUGAAGUUUGACACCAUGUAUCUUCAUUUCACUGGAAAUAUGAAUCAGGAUUGAAGUGAACUAUCUGCUGUGGAGUUGCAAUUUAAGUGUGAUGUGAUUUUGGCAUUAAUGCUUAAUAUAUGUAGUUCAUCUGUUUCAUUAUAAUUAUAUCCUUUGGUUAAAACUGGUUAUGCAUGUCUGGUAGUCGAGUCAUGUAGCUAAACAGAUGCUCAUUGGACUGUUAAACUCAGUGACUUCAUUGUAGGUAGAUUACUUGUUUAGAUUGGUUUGGUACACACGUUUGAUAAUUGAUUCUUAUAGCUAGAUUUGAGUUAUUGGUACUGUUAAAUAUGGGUUGUGCAAAUCCAAAUAUCUCCUGCUAUUUGUAUUCAAAAUUGAGCUCAUAAAUCG